Molecule: ribosomal RNA, 256 nt
Filed under: uncultured bacterium
Lineage: Bacteria
Description: partial 16S ribosomal RNA
Rfam family: Bacterial small subunit ribosomal RNA
Source: RNAcentral
UACGUAGGGGGCUAGCGUUGUCCGGAAUCAUUGGGCGUAAAGAGCGUGUAGGCGGCCCGGUAAGUCCGCUGUGAAAGUCGGGGGCUCAACCCUCGAAUGCCGGUGGAUACUGUCGGGCUAGAGUGCGGAAGAGGCGAGUGGAAUUCCUGGUGAUAGCGGUGAAAUGCGGCAGAUAUCAGGAGGAACACCGAUUGCGAAGGCAGCUCGCUGGGACGUAACUGACGCUGGAGACGCGAAAGCGUGGGGAGCAAACAGG